GCCCCAGUAACGGCGAGUGAAGCGGCAACAGCUCAAAUUUGAAAUCUGGCCCCCGGGUCCGAGUUGUAAUUUGCAGAGGAUGCUUCGGGCGAGGUGCCUUCCGAGUUCCCUGGAACGGGACGCCACAGAGGGUGAGAGCCCCGUCUGGUCGGACACCGAGCCCGUGUGAAGCUCCUUCGAAGAGUCGAGUAGUUUGGGAAUGCUGCUCAAAACGGGAGGUAUAUGUCUUCUAAAGCUAAAUAUUGGCCAGAGACCGAUAGCGCACAAGUAGAGUGAUCGAAAGAUGAAAAGCACUUUGAAAAGAGGGUUAAAAAGUACGUGAAAUUGUUGAAAGGGAAGCGCCCAUGACCAGACUUGGGCCCGGUGAAUCACCCGGCGUUCUCGCCGGUGCACUUUGCCGGGCACAGGCCAGCAUCAGUUUGGCGCGGGGAGAAAGGCUUCGGGAACGUGGCUCCCUCGGGAGUGUUAUAGCCCGCUGCGCAAUACCCUGCGCCGGACUGAGGUACGCGCAUCGCAAGGAUGCUGGCGUAAUGGUCAUCAGCGACCCGUCUUGAAACACGGACCAAGGAGUCGUCUUCGUAUGCGAGUGUUCGGGUGUCAAACCCCUACGCGGAAUGAAAGUGAACGCAGGUGAGAGCUUCGGCGCAUCAUCGACCGAUCCUGAUGUUCUCGGAUGGAUUUGAGUAAGAGCAUACGGGGCCGGACCCGAAAGAAGGUGAACUAUGCCUGUAUAGGGUGAAGCCAGAGGAAACUCUGGUGGAAGCUCGCAGCGGUUCUGACGUGCGAAUCGAUCGUCAAAUAUGGGCAUGGGGGCGAAAGACUAAUCGAACCUUCUAGUAGCUGGUUUCCGCCGAAGUUUCCCUCAGGAUAGCAGUGUUGGACUCAGUUUUAUGAGGUAAAGCGAAUGAUUAGGGACUCGGGGGCGCUAUAUUGCCUUCAUCCAUUCUCAAACUUUAAAUAUGUAAGAAGCCCUUGUUACUUAACUGAACGUGGGCCUUCGAAUGUAGCAACACUAGUGGGCCAUUUUUGGUAAGCAGAACUGGCGAUGCGGGAUGAACCGAACGCGAGGUUAAGGUGCCGGAGUGGACGCUCAUCAGACACCACAAAAGGUGUUAGUACAUCUUGACAGCAGGACGGUGGCCAUGGAAGUCGGAAUCCGCUAAGGACUGUGUAACAACUCACCUGCCGAAUGUACUAGCCCUGAAAAUGGAUGGCGCUCAA
RNAcentral lists this ribosomal RNA (1221 nucleotides) under Cordyceps fumosorosea. RNAcentral's name for it is "LSU rRNA". It matches the Rfam family "Eukaryotic large subunit ribosomal RNA", at positions 77 to 1332 of the family's 3401-position model. Lineage: Eukaryota; Fungi; Ascomycota; Sordariomycetes; Hypocreales; Cordycipitaceae. The record is from RNAcentral.